GUGAAGUCCCCAUUUCUUUGCAAACAGUACCAAUGUGUCAGGCUUGAUGUCCAGGCACAAGAAGAUUUAUUCACAUAUACAAACUCAAUUUCUGCUGCCGACCAACUGAGAAAAAUUUGGCUACACAUAUCUGAUCCAGUCCCAAGGUUUCUAAAAUUGCAACAGAUACAAGAAGCCCUCGCAUUUGACGCUGAAAUGCAAGAUGAUGCAUUCAAUGUUGCUGUCCAAGCACUAUUCGAGGAUGAGGUGCACAGGUUCGGGGGAACAGAUUUCCUAGGCUGGAGGCACUUCUUGAAUCAAGAUUUCGCGAUGCACGCAACCGCUGGUGGCGCAGACUGGAACCCCGAGGAUCAUGUCUACUUAUUCAACGACAUUCACAUACCAUACGACGUCUCAAAAAGCCGUCUGAUAUAUAUCCCUCUCCACCAACCGUUUCAUUUCUCAGUCUACGCAUUUGAUAUGGAGAACGAGAAGAUUCAGAUCAUGGACCCCUUAAGAGAUACAAGCAAAGGAGGGCAGGACAUUGAAGCUAGGCACUCUAAGACUAAAGAUCAUAUUGCGAAAGCAUUGCAGGAUUGCAUGGUCAUCUCUUUUCCAGAC
RNAcentral lists this ribosomal RNA (600 nucleotides) under Triticum aestivum (bread wheat). RNAcentral describes it as "partial small subunit ribosomal RNA". Lineage: Eukaryota; Viridiplantae; Streptophyta; Magnoliopsida; Poales; Poaceae. The record is from RNAcentral.